AGAUAAAGAAAGGAGUUGGGGACCAUCCGAGUCAUCGUCUGUGAUUUUAUAAAGACUACAAAGGCAUUUCUUCCUGCAAUGACGAAGAAUAACCAUGGCCAUAUUGUCACUGUGGCUUCGGCAGCUGGACAUGUCUCGGUCCCCUUCUUACUGGCUUACUGUUCAAGCAAGUUUGCUGCUGUUGGAUUUCAUAAAACUUUGACAGAUGAACUGGCUGCCUUACAAAUAACUGGAGUCAAAACAACAUGUCUGUGUCCUAAUUUCGUAAACACUGGCUUCAUCAAAAAUCCAAGUACAAGUUUGGGACCCACUCUGGAACCUGAGGAAGUGGUAAACAGGCUGAUGCAUGGGAUUCUGACUGAGCAGAAGAUGAUUUUUAUUCCAUCUUCUAUAGCUUUUUUAACAACAUUGGAAAGGAUCCUUCCUGAGCGUUUCCUGGCAGUUUUAAAACGAAAAAUCAGUGUUAAGUUUGAUGCAGUUAUUGGAUAUAAAAUGAAAGCGCAAUAAGCACCUAGUUUUCUGAAAACUGAUUUACCAGGUUUAGGUUGAUGUCAUCUAAUAGUGCCAGAAU
RNAcentral lists this long non-coding RNA (571 nucleotides) under Homo sapiens (human). RNAcentral's name for it is "non-protein coding lnc-HSD17B11-1:2". Lineage: Eukaryota; Metazoa; Chordata; Mammalia; Primates; Hominidae. The record is from RNAcentral.